UUAUAAGAAUGAUUUAAAAUAUAAUUACGUUUAAAAAGGGAAGAUAGGUGAAAGUCCUGCACGGUCCCGCCGCUGUAAAAGAAGAGCCUAUGCACAAAAACCACUGGGAAACUGGGAAGGUAGCAUGGGCAAUGAAUCUUAAGUCAGAAUACCUUACCGUAAUUAUAUACAAUU
RNAcentral lists this non-coding RNA (174 nucleotides) under Clostridium estertheticum. The record is from RNAcentral. Lineage: Bacteria; Bacillati; Bacillota; Clostridia; Eubacteriales; Clostridiaceae.